UCCGUAGGCGGGCGUCUAAGUCAGUGGUGAAAUCUUACAGCUCAACUGUAAAAUUGCCAUUGAUACUGGAUGUCUUGAAUUAGUGUGAAGUGGUUAGAAUGUGUAGUGUAGCGGUGAAAUGCAUAGAUAUUACACAGAAUACCAAUUGCGAAGGCAGAUCACUAACACUAUAUUGACGCUGAGGGACGAAAGCGUGGGGAGCGAACAGGAUUAGAUACCAUGGUAGUCC
This 229-nucleotide ribosomal RNA is filed under the name uncultured bacterium. Its description in RNAcentral is "partial 16S ribosomal RNA". It matches the Rfam family "Bacterial small subunit ribosomal RNA", at positions 568 to 796 of the family's 1533-position model. The record is from RNAcentral.